GUGGGCUGCAGCUUGAAUUUGUCAGGAGGACAGAAGCCAGUCACCUUCCCUACCUGUAUGCAGCGUGGAGCAAAUGACAACAGCAUUGUCAAAGGAGUGUCCAUUUUCUCACCCGGAUGUAGAGACCCUCCUGACCCAUUACAGGCUUCAUCACGGUCACCAGGGAAAAAGCUGGCUCUGCCUCCACCCCAAGUGCAUGUGCAUCUUUAAGACUUCAGGAUGCAGAUGCUGAGGAGGACUAGAGGCAUGAAAAUGGGAAUCUUGACCGUCAUUGAAGACGACCUCGCCAUGAAAGCACCAGACACUGUCACCAAUAUCACCAUCGUCCUGGAAGAGACUGUUGUUCUACAGGACAUCAAGGAUCUUCCA
Molecule: long non-coding RNA, 369 nt
Organism: Alosa alosa (allis shad)
Lineage: Eukaryota; Metazoa; Chordata; Actinopteri; Clupeiformes; Clupeidae
Exons: 3
Source: RefSeq, a predicted model, not a curated record